Molecule: long non-coding RNA, 782 nt
Organism: Mytilus californianus (California mussel)
Lineage: Eukaryota; Metazoa; Mollusca; Bivalvia; Mytilida; Mytilidae
Exons: 3
Source: RefSeq, a predicted model, not a curated record
UGUAAUUUAUUUGGUCAAGUCAUCUUUGUAAGUGACAUGAUAUCAUUACAAUGAUGGAAUAAAUGUUGGGAGAAUUUAUUGAUAUUUCCUCCUCAAGUUGAUAAUGUCUCCUCAGAGCACGCGCUAUCGUGAUACGAGUUUUACGGAUACGUUGAGGAAACAGAUAUAGCUGUAGGGAAGGAUGAUAAAUGUACAUACAGAGACUGUUUGAAUUUAAGGUGAAAUUUGUAUUAGUAAAUGAAUCAAAUAAAGAAUCUUCAUGGUUAAAUGCAUAGAAAGGAUAUUUGAAGAGAGCCAAUGAUUGACAUAAGGAGAAGCAGUUAUGAAUUUUGAAAUUGAUAUAAAGGAGAGGUCAUUCAUCACAGAAGAUUUAAUCCAAGUUUACAGUAUGUUGAGAGAAGUUCAGAACAAGCAAUUUGGUUGAAGAGGAGUUGUCAACACGUCAUCUUUGAAUAAGGUCAAUUGUAUUAGAAGUAAAUCCUUAACAGAAAUGAGACAAUAAUCAAACAAUUCAAAGACUACAUGGAUGUUAUCUGGACUAGCAUUUGUAUGACCUAAAUGUGGUAUUUUUCAUAUGAACACUUACAAGGCAGAUACUAGUCUGUGACAAACAUUUGUAUGCAAUUAAAGACUGAAGAACUAAUGUACGGUAUUCUUCAGAUUUCAGUAGAAUUUGUUUAAAACGGUACAUUCUUGGUAUGAAUUGAAGAAUUUUUGCUCAUUUUAAUGAAUUAUGAAAAUGUUUUAUAUGUUUAGAAUAAACAAAAACAACAUAAAAGAUA